CUCGUAGGUGGUUUGUCGCGUUGUUCGUGAAAACUCACAGCUUAACUGUGGGCGUGCGGGCGAUACGGGCAGACUAGAGUACUGCAGGGGAGACUGGAAUUCCUGGUGUAGCGGUGGAAUGCGCAGAUACCAGGAGGAACACCGGUGGCGAAGGCGGGUCUCUGGGCAGUAACUGACGCUGAGGAGCGAAAGCGUGGGUAGCGAACA
Molecule: ribosomal RNA, 207 nt
Filed under: uncultured bacterium
Lineage: Bacteria
Description: partial 16S ribosomal RNA
Rfam family: Bacterial small subunit ribosomal RNA
Source: RNAcentral